This 384-nucleotide ribosomal RNA is filed under the name uncultured bacterium. RNAcentral describes it as "bacterial SSU rRNA". It matches the Rfam family "Bacterial small subunit ribosomal RNA", at positions 28 to 407 of the family's 1533-position model. The record is from RNAcentral.
GACGAACGCUGGCGGCGUGCUUAACACAUGCAAGUGGAGCGACGAACCAGGGCUUGCCCUGGGGCAGAGCCGCGAACGGGUGAGUAUCACGUGGGUAACGUACCCCGAUGACUGGGACAACCCGGGGAAACCCGGGCUAAUACCGGAUGUGCCCCCUCACAUCAGUGAGGUGUGUAAAGGAAGCUUCGGCCUCCGCAUCGGGAUCGGCCUGCGGCCCAUUAGCUUGUUGGUGAGGUAACGGCNCACCAAGGCUGCGAUGGUAGCUGGUCUGAGAGGACGAUCAGCCACACUGGGACUGAGACACGGCCCAGACUCCUACGGGAGGCAGCAGUGGGGAAUCUUGCGCAAUGCGCGAAAGCGUGACGCAGCAACGCCGCGUGGGGG